This 755-nucleotide ribosomal RNA is filed under the name uncultured crenarchaeote. Its description in RNAcentral is "bacterial SSU rRNA". It matches the Rfam family "Archaeal small subunit ribosomal RNA", at positions 166 to 922 of the family's 1478-position model. Lineage: Archaea; Thermoproteati; Thermoproteota. The record is from RNAcentral.
AUACCUGGAAUGGUUUGUGUUCCAAAUGAUUUAUCGCCAUAGGAUGGGACUGCGGCCUAUCAGUUUGUUGGUGAGGUAAUGGCCCACCAAGACUAUUACAGGUACGGGCUCUGAGAGGAGUAGCCCGGAGAUGGGUACUGAGACACGGACCCAGGCCCUAUGGGGCGCAGCAGGCGAGAAAACUUUGCAAUGUGCGAAAGCACGACAAGGUUAAUCCGAGUGAUUUGUGCUAAACGAAUCUUUUGUUAGUCCUAGAAACACUAACGAAUAAGGGGUGGGCAAGUUCUGGUGUCAGCCGCCGCGGUAAAACCAGCACCUCAAGUGGUCAGGAUGAUUAUUGGGCCUAAAGCAUCCGUAGCCGGCUCUGUAAGUUUUCGGUUAAAUCUGUACGCUUAACGUACAGGCUGCCGGGAAUACUGCAGAGCUAGGGAGUGGGAGAGGUAGACGGUACUCGGUAGGAAGUGGUAAAAUGCUUUGAUCUAUCGAUGACCACCUGUGGCGAAGGCGGUCUACCAGAACACGUCCGACGGUGAGGGAUGAAAGCUGGGGGAGCAAACCGGAUUAGAUACCCGGGUAGUCCCAGCUGUAAACUAUGCAAACUCAGUGAUGCAUUGGCUUGUGGCCUAUGCAGUGCUGCAGGGAAGCCGUUAAGUUUGCCGCCUGGGAAGUACGUACGCAAGUAUGAAACUUAAAGGAAUUGGCGGGGGAGCACCACAAGGGGUGAAGCCUGCGGUUCAAUUGGAUUCAACGCCGGG